RNAcentral lists this ribosomal RNA (500 nucleotides) under uncultured bacterium. RNAcentral describes it as "partial 16S ribosomal RNA". It matches the Rfam family "Bacterial small subunit ribosomal RNA", at positions 30 to 523 of the family's 1533-position model. The record is from RNAcentral.
AUUGAACGCUGGCGGAAUGCUUUACACAUGCAAGUCGAACGGCAGCACGGACUUCGGUCUGGUGGCGAGUGGCGAACGGGUGAGUAAUGUAUCGGAACGUGCCCAGUCGUGGGGGAUAACGUAGUGAAAAUUACGCUAAUACCGCAUACGAUCUAUGGAUGAAAGCGGGGGAUCGCAAGACAUCGCGCGAUUGGAGCGGCCGAUAUCAGAUUAGGUAGGUGGUGGGGUAAAGGCCCACCAAGCCAACGAUCAGUAGCUGGUCUGAGAGGACGACCAGCCACACUGGAACUGAGACACGGUCCAGACUCCUACGGGAGGCAGCAGUGGGGAAUUUUGGACAAUGGGCGAAAGCCUGAUCCAGCCAGUCCGCGUGCAGGAUGAAGGCCCUCGGGUUGUAAACUGCUUUUGUACAGAACGAAAAGGUUUCUACUAAUACUAGGAGCUCAUGACGGUACUGUAAGAAUAAGCACCGGCUAACUACGUGCCAGCCGCCGCCGUAA